RNAcentral lists this ribosomal RNA (460 nucleotides) under uncultured bacterium. Its description in RNAcentral is "partial 16S ribosomal RNA". It matches the Rfam family "Bacterial small subunit ribosomal RNA", at positions 338 to 795 of the family's 1533-position model. The record is from RNAcentral.
CCUACGGGCGGCAGCAGUGAGGAAUAUUGGUCAAUGGACGAGAGUCUGAACCAGCCAAGUAGCGUGCAGGAUGACUGCCCUAUGGGUUGUACACUUCUUUUAUAUGGGAAUAACACAGCUUAUGCAUACCCCUUUGUAUGUACCAUAUGAAUAAGGAUCGGCUAAUUCCGUUCCCGCAGCCGCGGUAAUACGGAGGAUCCGGGCGUUAUCAGGAUUUAUUGGGUUUAAGGGCAGCGGAGGUGGAUUGUUAAGUCAGUUGUGAAAGUUUGGGGCUCAACCGUCAAAUUGCAGGUGGAACUGGCAGUCUUGAGUACAGGAGAGGUAGGCGGAAUUCGUGGUGUAGCGGUGAAAUGCUUAGAUAUGACGAAGAACUCCGAUUGCGAAGGCAGCUCACUGGACUGCAACUGACACUGAGGCUCGAAAGUGUGGGUAUCAAACAGGAUUAGAUACCCGGGUAGUC